Long non-coding RNA from Psammomys obesus (fat sand rat), 2829 nucleotides. RefSeq lists it as uncharacterized. The record is from RefSeq and is a predicted model, not a curated record. The transcript has 3 exons. Lineage: Eukaryota; Metazoa; Chordata; Mammalia; Rodentia; Muridae.
CGCAGCUCCUCUUCACUGAGAGAGACCCGAAUUCACGGAGGGGGAAAAGGUGCGCCCCACAAAAAGGGAGCCGCCUCGUAGAGACACCAGGGGCAAUGGCUUUGGAUGAUCUCUCAAUCCCUGUUCCGAAAGGGGACCCAGAUGUAGAACUCUCAGCUCCUUCUCCAGCACCAUGUCUGUCUGCAUGACACCAUACUUCCAGUCAUGAAAAUGAUGGACUAAACCUCUGAACUGUGUAUGUGUGUCUUAGUGUUGUAUUGCUGUGAAGAGACACCAUGGCCACAGCAACUCCUAUAGAAGAAAGCAUUUAAUUGGGAUGUGCUUAAAGUUUGAGAGGCUUAGUCCACGGAGGAGAGCACGGUUUUACACAGGCAGGCAUGGUGCGUAUAGAGGCUGGCAGACAGCAGGAAGGAAGAGACUCUGGGUUUGCGAUGGGAUUUUUUGAAACUUCAAAGCCCAGCCUCAGUGACACACUUUCUCAAGCAAGACCAGACCUCCUAAUCCUUUCAAAUAGUACCACUCUAUUGAUCCUAUGGGGACCAUUUUCAUUCAAACCACAACAUUCCUCUCUCCCUGUCCCCCAUGGACUAGUGGCUACGUAAUAAUGCAGAAUUUGUUUAGUCCAACUUCAAAAAUCCCCCAUAGUGCAUCACAAUCUCAAUACUGUUUUAAAGAUGAAAGUUAAAAGCCUCUUGGGAAACUCAAGACAAUCUCUUAACUGUAACCUCUGUAAAAUCAAAAUUUAAAAAGCAGAUCACAUACUUCCAACAUGCAUUGGCACAGAAUAUGCAUUGUCUUUCCAAAGGGAGGAAGGGUUGCAUCAUGAGGAAACAGUGUACCCAUGCAAGACCAAGAACCAGCUGGAUGAACUCCAGAACACAUCUCCAAGUCUUAUGUCAAAGCACUCCUCAGAUCUCCAGCUCCUUCCAGCUUUGCUGACUGUAACACACUUCUCCCUCUGAGGCUGGUUCUGCUCCCUGCUAGCAGCCCCUUUCAGCAGGUGUUCCAUGGUUCUGAUGCCAUCCAGAUUUUUAGGAUAUCAGAAUCACAGGAAGCAUUUGAGCUCAACCUUUGUGGGGAGACUUCGAUUCAGUCUUUAAGAUGUGGUCAAGGAAUUUACAUUUGCAGGAAGAUUUUGCUUUUAUAUAACAUUGUUUAUCUAGUGUGUGACAUGCUUUUUUUUUCUUUUAUUCAACAAACUCCCUCUGUAUACUUACUUUUCUAUAUGUGCUUCCGGCUGCAAUUUGAGUAAUACCAAAAAAACAUGGAAGGAGGUUGCCCAUCAUCUGGCCACUAGGGAGGAUGAAGGCGUUUGCAUUCUCGUAGGGCACUUUACCUUGUGAAGGCUAUGAAGAUCCUGGAGUUGUGCUGUGAACUGCCGCUGGCUCAGUGUAGCUUGAGUGAGGCUAGCACUCAGGAUGGUGAAUCAGGUGGAUGAUGAGUUCAAGGCCAACGGAGGCUACAUGGCCUGACUCUGUCUCAAGAACAAAACAAAACAUUCCUAAAUAAAUGACAACCAAACCUCCACCAAAAUAAAAAAAAUAAAAUAAAAACUAACCUGAAAACAGGAGGUGACUAAGCCGGUAAGGUUUCUGUUGCAAGAGGAUUUGAGUUCUGAACCUCAGUGCCAAAAUAAAAUCCAUGAGCUGCUGAUAGCAUCUAUAACACCAACAAUGGGGAGGCAGGGAGACCAGGGGAGACCAGAGCUCAUUAACCAGCCAGCCUAAACAAAUCGAUUGCAUGCCUCAGCACAAGUAUAGCAUCAGAGAACAGCUUGUGGGAGUCUGAUGGUUUCUUCCACUGUGGAUUUUAGGGACUGAAUUUAAGUUAUUAAGCUUUGUCUUUUGCCUGCUGAGACAUCUUGCUGGUCAUUUAUCUGAAUUUGUGGCUGGUGGCUUCAGGGAUUUUCUCCUGAUAGAUUCUUAGGCACAUGAACAGGAAAGAUAUCUUUCUGAAUCCAGUUUCAAAGUUCUGAAAGAAGGACCCAAAGGCUUCCCUUUCCUGAGCAUAGACGUCACCAGUAAAACAGAAGACAUGCUUGGCGUAGUCACAAGGAGCAUGGACCACUUGAAUCAGUUGUCCACCAGUCAGGCAGAAAAUGUUGAAGCAUGUUCCUUGUACACUGGCAUUUUGAGAGAGAUCUUGAUCACAUUUUUUUCCCACAGCACCCAGGGAGUAAUUGACCUAUAGACUGGUUGACCACAAAAUCUGGUUCUCCUUAAGGUGCCAGGACACUCACAAGACAACUGUCUUCUAACAAAUUCCAUACACUUCACAAUAGAUAAGAUGUCUCUAAGCACUUUUGGUUUUUAAAAAGUUGUGCAAGUAGGGUAAAAAAUUUGGGUAUCAGUAAAUAAACUGAGCACAUGAGAACAUUUUUCCAGCAACUCUAACAUGUGCUUUGUCUCUUGCAAGCUGGUAUAGUAAGUCUCUUCUAGGGUAAAGCUGUCAGACUACACUUGGGAGGCAGAGGCAGGCAGAUCUCUGAGUUUGAGACCAUCCUGGUCUAUAAAGCUAGUUCUAAGGCUGCAAGGGUUAUACAGAGAAAUUCUGUGUCAAAAAAAAAAAAAAGUAAAAAAAAAAAGAAAGAAAAAAGGAUAUAAUGUGAUAUAGGUUCUUUCAGCGUAUAUAAAAUAUGUAUGCAUACAUAAAUACACAUGUAUAUGUGUAUGAAAACACACAAAUGUAUACACAAUAGGCUUACAUAGGGGUUUAUGUUCCACUAUUAUAGUUUUAAUAGAAUUCUUGCUGGGCAGUGGUGGUCAUGCCUUUGUCUCUCAAGUGCUCAACUUAAAGGCAGACAUCACCACAGUCAGUUUCCAUGAUGUC